UGUUCUGGCUGCGAGCAUAUCCCUUAGGUACAAUAAGAAGAAGGAGUAAAUAUCAGGCUCCCUGCCUGCAUGGCACUGCUUUUUGGGAGCCUUCCCUUCUCUUCAGAGCAGAUUGGCAGCAAUCCCACAGGAGGGAGAUGGCAUGUUGCUGUGGUGACAGUGGGCAGCAGAGGUCUCAGCCAGCCCCAGCAGGCGUGCGAAGUGAUAGAGUGAGGUGUUGUGUUCAUCUACAGGAUUUCAGGUCCAGCAGUGUCCAAGUAACUUCUGUGCUCAGUGGCAGUUAGGAACUAGCACAGCAUCUGCCUGCAGCGUUUCGAAUGGUUGGAGGAGGACAAAAAAUGCAUGGCCCGUAUUGCAUAAAGUAUGGCAUCUCCUGAGUGUGGCAGCCCUGACACUGAUGCUGAACUUGUGUGCCCUGUGCCAGGCAGGGGAUUGGCACCGGAGCAGGUCACACUGAGCCAUAAUUGCUCGAACAAAACUAAUAGCUUCUUACUAUGAAGACACUUCUCAAGCCUGCAGUAGUAUUUUUGAACUCAACAUUUUAAAUUCAGGUGAUUACAGAAUGGACAUAUGUUCACCAUGGCAAACAUGAAUGAUGAUGGCAUAUGUGUAUUCAUACUCUUAAGUGAUUCGAGCUGCUUUUGAGGCUGGAAUUUCUUGUGACUUCCUGGCAGUAAAGAGGGGGACAGGAGCUCUUCAGCUUUUAAGAGAUGCUGCAGAGUAAGUCAUAGCUGUAGCCUCCUCUGUCUUCAGAGGAGCAAAAACACGUCAGUGGGAUCAAAUAAUUUAGUUUUGGAAUAGUUAUAUUUUGACACUCUGCAGUGGGUAUUUUGGAUUAGAUCCUGAUGGAUCAGAACCAUGGAAGAGAUAGAAAUAGACACAAUGGAUUUUUCCCUUAGCCAAUUCUAGUAAAAAGUAUCAAGUUGUUCCAGUGAGAGAUACCAUGUGUAGACUUAGAUAUGCUCUUGCCUUAUUGCUUUUUUGCCUGAAAGGUUUUUACCUUUACCUGCUCCUUUACCUGGAGCAACUGGAGUGGACUUUCAUGCUGAACUUGAGCCUUUCUUCCUGCCCAAAACAAAGUCUUCUGCUUCUCCAAUGGAAGCUGCCUCUGUUCCUUCUCUGGCACUGCCUGGAGGCUUCAGGGAGCACUGUGCCAUCCCACUGGAUUCCUCCUGGUCCCGACACAGCAGCUGAAACUAGACCAGUCCCAGUCCUGCCCUCUUCCUCGAGACUUACCUGAAGGCUGCAUGGAGCUUGGGGGCAUCUGCUGGACUCUGUUGUCCCGAUGCAGAAGCACAGAGUACACAAGUUCCAGUCCUGCCCUCUUCUUGAGGGCUCGUCUGGAGGCUGCAGGGAGCUCGAGGCUUUCCACUGGACUCCUCCUGUUGUCCCGGCACAGCAACUUAGAAGAGACACAGGGGGACCGCAGGAGGAUCCGUCUGUCCGGCCGCAGUGAGCCCUCUGGCCUGGAUGCGCGGAGCGAUGCAGUGCCAGUAGCUCCUUGGAGCUGGUGUGAGGAGAGCCCAGUUUCCAGUGGAUCUGUGCUGUGAUGCUGACAGAUUUUGCUGUCUAGAAGAACAUCCUGCUUCACUUUCAUGUCCAAAGCUACUGAGAUGCUUUGCCAACUCUGAGCGCAGCAUUAAAAUAAAAGAGAGACUCGAUCCACUUGACAUUCAAGGAUAAGUAGUUUUUUUCCCUUCUUUAUUUUCCCGUUAGAAGAUGAAGAGAUGAUCAGUUUUGAAUUUGUACAUUAGGGCAUAUGAAUGGUGAUGUUUUGUUGCAAGUACUCCUGCUUUGAGUACAAUAACAGCACUCAGGUAGGAAAGCUGUGGUGCGAAAGAGCUGCAAACUGAAGGUGAAGCAAACUAUUUUGUCCAGCUAGCAAUACCCGAUUUGGAUUAAAAACAAGGAAGAUCCCCUUGAUCCAGAAUUAGGAGCUCCAUUGUGUGUUCAAUAGAAGCUGUAGAUGCUGAGUAUCAUUCAGGUUGUUGCCUGAGGGUGAAACAAUGAAGAUUCUUUUGGAAAGUGGCUAAAAUUUGGGUCCGUGAGCAUGAGGUCAUUUGGUGCUUGUGUAAUCUUCCCUGCUCACAGCCACGUGGAUCAGUCAUCAGAGGCUGAAAUCUUUGCUGCCAAAUUUGAGCCCAGGAAAGGUGUUAGAGAUAGAAUUGCACUGUGAUCCUUGGGAAAAGAGGGCAUAUCUUUGUCAUUUUGCGUUACUGACAUUUCUAGGGAUUUUGACAGAAGGAAGAUAGCAGGAAUGUGCAACUCCUGUCAGUGAGCAUCCCGAAAUAUUUCUGAGUAAACGAUGGCAGAUGCUUCAAGCCAGAGAUGCUGUUAGACACUGAGAAAUAUGAUUUUCUUUUACUCUCAGUUGAAGCUCGGGUUAUCUUAUUUUCCCAAGCAAAAGGUCAAUAUGACAUUCACGUAAUAUAUUCAUACAACUCUUGUAUUUCAUUAUUGCCAUUGUUUUUUGUGUGUAAAUAGCGAUGAAACAGCUAAAUGCAUUGAAAAAUAGCAGUUAAUCACUAGCCAGGAGGCAGGCAGUGCUAAAAAAUGUUUCCCUGGUUUAAGUAGUAUUUCUUACUUAAAAACAAGUUUUAUUUGGCUUGUGUGCAGAGCUCUGUCUUCAUAAACCUUUAAUCUCAGAGCUGUCAAACCUCCUUUGACCCAGAGUUUCACAGUAAAUAGAAAAAAAAAAUGACAAAGAUGCUCUUCUGUAGAAAAGUGAGCUUAGGGAGUGUAGUUCAAGGUGAAAAUCUUGUAGUGUUGUUUCAGCAACAGUAAUGGAAAUGGAUUCAAGGGAGACUUUUCUGGAUCAUUCCUGAAUCUCUAAAGACAAAGCCUUGAGAAAAUGAUAAAGUACAGUGAAUCUGUGAUCUUCUAGGGGAGUCCUGAGCGGCCUCUGCAGUGGGUGAGAGGAGAAAGCAGAUGGCAUGGAGCUGUGCUGGAUACCUGGCAGUGUGCAGGUCAUUACACAGGCAAGCUGCUGUGUCACAUUCAGCACAGAGCCGUUCCAUAGGUGAAUCAGGCCAUGACAGCAUUUGUCUGCUUCUUGUACUCUGCACACGAAUGUGAUGUAAGGAGGCAGCGAAGCAAGCGCUUGAGCACUUAGUUCCAAGUUUUUGUACAGGCGUACCUCAAUGCAGCUGUAAGAUGUAAACAUUAAUUAUUUUCUGUAUUGCACCUGGGGAGUGAUUGGGAGGAGUAUAGAUGUCAGGUGCAGUGGGGGCACGAGUAGAGAGUUUCGUGAGGUUUUGAGCGUAUUUUGUAUUUUAUUAUGAGAAAGGCAAGCAAUGUACUGACAGUCCUCACAGAUCUUUUGAGUCUUUCUUCUGUUUUCUUGGCGGCCAGUCUUUGCAUUUAAAAUGUUUAUUUGAACAAGUGGGUGAGGAAGAAGCAAGCGUGGAUGGUAAGCAGCAGUAGGCAGAAGCAGUUGAUGGCAUGGGAUGUGUGCCAGGACAUGGGCCUCUUCGUUCUUCCAAUGUUCACAGAGAAAUAGCAGAAACCAUUUUGGGGGGGGGGGGGGGGGAAAGGCAAAAAAACCAACCAACUCUCUUCUGCUUGUUUUAAUUUCUAAGGCUCACAGGUUAGAUUCUGGCUCAGGAAAACAUUCUGUGAUGCUCUUUGAGGCACCUUCCACUUUCACCAGCUGCUGGAGGAUGGUGAGAAAGUGUGAGCUGGGAGAUUACUGAAGCAGGGACCAAGCCUUUAACUUCUUUGAACGGAUGUGUAACACAGGGAUGCACCACCAGUUCACAGAAGACAGUGGGUCAUGUGCAGGAUUAGUCUAUUUAGAGAAUGUGGUCCCUUUUUCCCUCUCACAAAAUGUCUACAGAUAUCUUUUGAUUUCCGUGAACUAUUUGGCAGACAUGUUCUGGAAUUAAUCCGGGUGGAUUGUUCAUUAAUAAUUUUAUUCUGUUGUUUGGCGAUGAUUGACCACGUUAGUUGGAAGAUGUCCUUUCCUUGGCUUGGGUAGAGAAGUACACUCCUACUUACGGGAUGAAUGUGUGUAUGUGAUUUAAAAUCCAUUUUCUGUGAAUACUCCUGUGUAUGAUUUUGAAGUAGAUUUGUACAAGUAUUUUUGCAAGUAAAACUCACUCACUUAAAUGUUGUCAGAAAACAAGUGCUAAAAGAUGCAUGGUAUCAUGUGGUUAUGUACUUUAAUGUUAUUAUCCCAACUGUACUUCAUGCUUUACUUCAUCCUGAGCAGUGAACGAUGUCCAGACAUUUUGUUUUGGUCAGAUUUUUCAGUAUUUCAUUGUGUUGUUCAUGAGUCCCUUCAGCACUCCACUGUUGGUAUGAACUUUGCAGAGUUUAGACAGCAUCACAGUAUUCAACAGCAGCAUUAGGUGGACAAAUGGAUGGACUGAAAAUGAGCUCCCAUUUGCCUGGUUAGAGGCAGGCAGGCAGGACACCCACCUCAGCAGAUGCUCUGGGAUGAUCAGAAGGGGAGGGGAUUUUUAUGACUCCAGUGCCACUUGGAUGUUACUGAAAAGGCAUUCGGCCACUUCUUUCCUGGAACAUUAGAUCUUGCACUUGCAGCAUCUCCCAGACUAAAUAAAGUCAUCUUAAAUAAAUGAUGAAAAUGCAGAAAAUACAUCUGUGAAAAGAAGCAAAUUAAGAAACCGAUAAAAGUACAAUUAUCAUUUCUAGAUAGGAGCAUGCUCACCACAGCUACAGGUUCCUAUAUGCCUUAUCUGCUCCUGGAUUUAUUUUCAGUAAUUGGAAGCCAGAAUACCUGUUACAUUUUUGCACUCUGAUACAGCAGGAUUAGGUAGCCAGACUUUUGUUACCUUCGUCCCGAUUCUUUUAAAACCUAAAGACUUGGAUAUUUCAGUCAAUAUAGAAAGUAUGGUAGGCAGUUACACUCUUUGUAUAUUCUGUACUGAUGACCAGUGUGAUAUAUUGCAGUGGAAUGAUUGUGUGUCGUGUAGAGAAUACAUCAAGAGUGGUAAGGAAAAGAGCAGACUUGGUUGUGGGAAACACAGGAUCACCACUCUUCAUUUUUGGAGCAGACAGGAACACCAUUAAUCAGCGUAUGAGCAGCUUUGAAAAACUCAUUCCAAGUUAUUCUGGGGCUAGGUGAUGGCCCAAGAUUGUACAGCUAACAAAAGGUGGCAGGGAGGGACAAAGAGCAAGAGGAUGAAGACUAAGCGCUCCUGGGUAUCAGAUCUCUUGUCUAGAUGAGUCUUUGGGAUGUGCUAAAGACAAAUUAGAGAUUGCAGGUUAGAUUGCAGGUUAGAUAAGAUGUAUACUGAGUGAUUGUUUGUUAGGACAUAUGAUUUAUGAAGUCUUUAAAGUGUUGCAGUGAAAAAGACCACUUAGACUGGAAGGAAUGUGUUAAGAAACAGAAACUCAGGGCAGCCCUCAGAGGGGAGGAGGGGAAAGCCCAGGAAUGGCAGCAAGAGUCAAGAGAAGUGCAAAAAGAGGAAAGGAGAGAGUGGUGUUGAACAAAGGGCACGAGGAGUUGCUCAGAAAAGCUCUGUGUUGGAGGGAGAGGGUCAGUGAGGAGAAAAGAUGGGCAGGGGAAGGUGUCUGAAGGCUAGACCUCAUCAGCCAAGUUCAGGAUGUCAAGAGAAGCCUUGGGUCCUGUAGCUGAGUGGUGUCUAAAAUAUCACGAGAGCUGGCAAAGAAGGUCAGUGCAGUCAUUCAGUGUUAUUUAGUUAAACUCUGUUUUUGUAGGAGUAUUUUCAAGUUUUCAACCCAGAAUCUUUGCCCUUGCUAGAAUAAACCUCUCCUUGUUUUUCAGCCUAAGCAAAUUCAGUAUUUCAAGUGACGCUUGGUUGAGCUGCCUUGGUACUGCUAAAACAGCCAUGCUUCUCGUGUUUCUGUGAGAGUGCUGGACAAGGAGAAGCUUGGAGGAGUCAGGCAAGAGCUGAGCUGUUCCCUGCAGAGCUGGACUCCAGCGGUGGUAUCCCAGGGCUGGAUGUCAACCAGUGUCCUUCGAUCAGGGACCAAGUGCCAGAAGGGCCGCAAUUUCAGAUAUCCUAAGUCAUUUGAGAACAGCAGCUUUUGGAUGUUCGGCUGUAGGUGACGUUUUGGGAAAGGCAGCAUGUAGUGUUAGGCCACAGAUCUCACCCGGUGAUCUAACUGAAGAUCUUCACCUCUUCCCAUGUCCCCGAUCCCCCUUCGUAUUGCUCUCCUCCUGCAAAAAGCAAGUGGCUACUAUCCACUCAUCCAUUCUAGAGUCUGUCCAGCUGCCAACCAAGGCCUCCUGCUCCUUUGGGCCCUGAGGGCAAAGAGCCGGCUCGAUCGGGUGGGAUGUCCAUGUGGGCAGGGGCAGGGAGGUGGGAGAGGGGAAGAAUGGCUUCCAGGGGAGCACAGCCCAUGCCUAGUGCUGUAAUAAUGGAGUAUGUGGUCCCCAGGGAGAUCAAACUCACUUUGAAUGCAAGGGAAGGAUUCUGCUAUGCAUUUUAACAUGGGAGGGCUGGAGCCUCAGCUAUUUUUAAUUUUUGAAGGAAGAUUUUGACAAGUGAGUGACAGAUUUCAAGUUUCCUACUCAGGAAUAAAUAGAGGCAACUGUUUCUUAGCAUACCAUAUUUCCAAUUAAUAAAACGUGUGGGACUUGUGGCACUCAUAAAGCUGAUUAGCAGCGGGGAGCCCCUAAUUUCUAUGCAGAGGGGACAUGCGUUCCCGGCUUGGGGCGCUCAGUGGCUGCUGGUGGGAUUCUCAGGGCUCUGUGAGCUGAGGCUUGCCGGCCAGUUCACAGACACAAGGAUGGGCCGGGUUUGCUUGGAAGUUCAAGCUCAAUGAACUGAGACUCCAGAGAACAAUUCCCCGGCUGCCGCCACCUCCCUGCACAGCCCUCUGAAGCUCUCCGUCCUCAGAACCCACCGGCCUGCCUCUCUUAAUACGUUCACAAAUUUUCCCAACAAAAGAGCAAUUACAACCUUACAGAGACUGCUCACAAAGAGAGUGGGGAUGACCCCGGCGAGGGGUUUGCACUACUCAACACAUGGCCAGUCACCAACAAAGCCAGCCCCGCUCCCAUUUGAUCCCAGAAGAGCCUCUCAGACUGGCACGCUUGACCAAAAGCUGCCCGGGUGAGUCAUUCGUCUGGCGGCUCGGUGAUUCAUGGGCCUCCAGGAAGAAGGGAGGAGGGAGGCGAAGGCUUUUCAGAGUUGAAGUUAAAUGCAAGAGAAACACAUUCUCCAAAACUUGACUGUGUCCAAUUGGUGUGUGAAUACCCGGACAAAGCCAUGGCAGGAGCCCUGGUGGGCCUCGCUGUGUGGCUCUGAGGGCGAGCUGUGCUGCAGGGGGCACCUUCCCAAAUCCAUACUCUGGGCCAUGUGGAGUGCAUAAAGAAGUGGUGCUUUACAUCCCAACUGUGUGUGCUCCACAGCUUCCCCUGACUUCCCAGUCGGGCAUGCUUUGGGUUGGAUACUAAGUGCUUUGACCUAAUAUCAGGGUCAAAACUUCAACUGACUUUGACUUAAAAUCUAAGCUUCUGCACUGUGCUAACAGUACUGGCUCCUUCUUGUAUCUGUGAAGCAAGCAUACCGCAGGCAAGCGCUCCAUCCCUGGAGAGGUGCCUGCCCAUGGCAUACAGGAACACGCAGCAGGAGCCUCUCUCCUCACAUGCUUUGGAAUACUGUGUCUGGUUCUGGGCUCCUCAGUUCAAAAAAGACAGAUCUUCUAGAGAGAGCCCAGCGGAGGGCCACCAAGAGGAUCGGGGCCUGGAGCAUCUCCCGUAUGAGGAAAGGCUGAGAGCCCUGGGGCUGUUCAGUCUGGAGAAGAGAAGGUUGAGAGGAGAUCCCAUCCCUGUUUAUAAAUAUCUGAAAGGCGGGAGUCAAAUGGAUGGGACCAGGCUCUUUUUGGUGGUGCCCAGCAACAGGAGCAGAGGUAAUGGGCAUGAAGUGCAACACUGGACGUUCCAUACAAAUAUGAGGAAGAACUUCUUUCCUGUGAGGGUGGCGGAGCGUUGGAACAGGCUGCCCCAAGAGCUGUUGGAAUCUCCUUCUCUGGGAAUUUUCCAGACCUGCCGGGAUGCUUUCCUGUGCAACCUGCUGUAGGGAACUGCUUUAGCAGGGGGUUGGACUGUGGGAUCUCGAGAGGUCCCUUCCAACCCUACAAUUCUGCAAUUCUGUGACCCCACCACCCGGCUGCACCGCUCUCAUCCCUCAGCAGUGACCAGGAGAGGCUGCAGGGCCACCAGGCCUCAGCUCAGCCCACCGAAAUGUUUGCGUCCCGCAUACCCCCACGAGUCGCCUGCUGCAGGGGAUUGUGUUACAUAUUGCUUCAGACACACAGGUCAAAACACUAAAUUAUUUAGCAGCCAUUGCCAGAUGGAUUUUAAAACAAUUAACAAGUGCUAAAAAUAGGCAGCUCUCUCUGUCUCAUGGAUUUUGCCAAAAAGCAUCUGUUUGCUGUUCUCUUGCCAGAAAUUUAUGCUGAGGAUGCAGCAGAGGCCUCGUGCUCACUGCAGUCGUUGGGGUUUCAGCUGUGCCUGGGCCGCUGCAUGGCUGCAGGCUGCAGUGCAUCAGGGUACAAGUGCCACUGGCAGGCGGUUGUUUGUGCACAGAAAAGAGUUUGAACUGCUGGAUAUUGUUUUUCUUAUUAGUGGUAUUACUAUUGUAACUCUAGCGUGCUUCUCACUGCUUUGUCACCUGCCUUUGGUGGCUGGGUUGUGCUGUCCCAAAUCCAUGUUGGGGUGCUGAUGGCAGGAGCAAUUAAGGCUCUGGCAACAAAGAAGCUUGAGGGCUUAAAUCCCUCCGAAGGACUCAGGUCCUCUCCUUUUCCAUGCUGCAGCAGGUGGAGAGACACCAAGUGGGGUGUAGAAACCGACUGUUUGCUUCAACUCCCUAUCCAUGUGGUAAGGCAUUGUGGGACGUGUAGUUCAAGGCUUCCUGGGGCCUGCAGCUCCCUGUUGUCAGGGCAGAAGCAUCGUCUGGCCACGUUUCAGGGCUCUGCCAUCAAGACUGUGGCCUCUGAGCGUGUGUUUAUAUCUGCAGCACAGGAUGUGCUUUGCACGGAGUAAAAGGGAGCGUUUGUUUCUUUUUUGAGUUUGCAGUCACCCAUAAAAGCAGGUGCUCUGUGUUGAGCCCCAGGUUUAUGAGCCGCCGCUGCCAGCUGAGCUCUGAUGCUCCGCUUGGUGCCACUUGCAGCACUACGCUGAGCAGGCCCUGGGGAGCAGUGCAGAUGAUGGAGCACAUUUCAGUGAGUUUCUGUUUCUAAAAAAUGUUACACUAGGCAAAGGAGUUGGACCUGAAUGAAAGUGGCGGAUCUAAUUUUAGACAGUACCUAUGAAUGAAACUUGAAACGAGCUGUUCAGGAAAUACCUUCCUCUGUGCCAGUGCCAGGGAGAGUAUGUGAUUUAAUGCUAAAUUAGCCAGUGCCUAUGAACAGGUUACUGCAAGAAUAUUUUUCCUUCCUUUAACUAAAUUAUUUUAAAAAAAACAAAGUCUUAAUUUCUACGUAUGUGCCCAUGUCGUUUUGCAAAAGCUGCAGAUCUUCCACCUCUGGGGAGUGAGUGCCUCCUCUGCUUCAGGGCCAUAUGUCACCUCUUGAAGGCUGUUUGUCACUGCAGCCCCGCACUGAAGAGCUCUUUUCUUCGAUCUGGUGUCUGGGGAUGUCCAGAAGUGAAUGGUAAAUACGAAAGGACCUUGAGCAAACUGAAAGCCUAUCCCAGGGCUCUUGCCCAGAUGAGCAGCCACGUUAGCUUUCAAGAGGCCAAAUCUCUUUCAAAUGUGCUUUGUUAUAUAUUGACCAAACCUUCCUCUUUUCUUAAGAAAGACAGGAGGGAAUACUGCCCCACCAGAUACCAAGCAGGCAUCCUGUCCCUGUCUCUGAGGCCUUUUAUCACACAGCUUUUCAUGUCCAUAAUUUGGGACCCUGGAGACCUGAGGGUUUAGCUGAGAAAUAAAUCAGCAAACAAGCUCUGUACUUUCCUGCACAGUCUUUGCAGCCAAACACCGAGUUACAGGCACCUUUCUGUGUAAGUGGGCUAGGUGCAGCAAGCACAGCACUCACAGCACUUGAUCAAUGAAUAAUUUACAGGUAUAGUAAGCCAGUUACUCCUAUCUAACCCCUAAUGAGAUUCUUGGCCCUUGGCAAAGGAAGCUGUAGUAAGUAAAAGUGCAGAAAUGUUUUGUAAUGCUUUUUUUCCUUCAUCCAGAUAAUCUGAGUCUUGGGUCAAAUCCAUCGUUAACUAACCAAACCUCCCUCAAUCUUGUAUUUUAUGAAGUUUCCACGUGGAAAGGCUUUAAUGAGUUCCUGUUCAUGACGAAACUUCCUAUGCUGGAUGCAGCCCUGAAUCUCAUGCCAGCGCUGGCGUAGCAUGGGCUGGUGCUGCUAGACCCGGACACCUGGAGCUGCACUGCGUAGGUGCUGGGUCAUCGCAACGCCUUCCAGCACGGCUGCUCCAGGGAGUACUGGCAGAUGCAUGACCCAAGGUUUUCUUCUGAGGAGCACGAAGCCAGAGAUCCUCCUGCUGUGGCCGGUGAGCAGGCAGCUCUCACAGCUCUGACCUCGGAACUUCAGCUUCUCAACUGACACUGAAGGACCUGCAGAUAUGGCUCAGGAGAUGUGGCCGUUAGCUGCCCAGGGUUUGGCUGGUUUUGUCCAGGGGGAUCACUGUGUCCCUUGCAUAUAUGCGAUCCGUGAGACAAUCUCUGUGAUGGAAUGUGCAUGCUGUGAGUAUGGUUUCAAACCAUUGUUAGCUUUAUUCUCACAGUGUUCCUUUUAUUCUCCCCUCUGCAGAUGAAUUUUGUCCAAGACCGCUGCCCACUGGGACACAAGCCAGACAAAGCCAAAGGGCAGCUGUAAAUUAAAACAGGCAGAGUUGUGAUCAGUCUCUCCUUCCUGAUUGCAGUCGAGUGGAAGAAGCCUGAAGAGCUCCUGCUGCCCAGGCUGCCAGGUGGAUGGACCCUGCACAGAGAAGGAUGGUCACUUAGAGGCUGCUUCAUCCCUUUGGCAGGAAAUUGAGGGGAGAGAGCCCCUUUCCCUUCAAGCACCCAUGUAGCCACUCUUUGCCGGUGCCAUACCACUGGUGGGUCCACUUCUGGCAUAGGAGAAAGCAUAUUAGUCCCCGUCUGCCCACUUUGUGCAGGGGAAUGGGGCAGUUGGUGCUGCUGGCUGGCAGUGCUGUCUCCUCCCAGUCAGGUGGCAGAAGGUCUUCAGAGUGGCCUAGGAAUGUAAACAAAACAAAACUGUUGCACAGUCUGGCCAGUCAGCAGUUCCAGCAACUGAGAGUGAUGGCCAGCACAGCUGAAUCCAGUUGCCAAAAUAAGUCUUUGGGAUACCCCACAAUGACCCACAGUGAUAGUCGUGUGUACCCCUCAGCCUCAGCCUAAUUCCUGUGGGAAUCAGCUUUACACUGGCACAGGAGAGCAGAGUGCUUGGUUUACAGAGUUGUUUUUCAUCUGUGACGGCCGUGGCUUUUAAGGCUAUGAAAUCAUGAAACACUCUCUCGUCUGUACUCAGAAUGUCUCAGGAAGACACCCAUGUGAUCACCAUGGUGCUCACAGAAGCCUUUGUUGGGAAGAAGCUUAUCCAGCCUGGCAAGGGGAGCAGGAGGGAGAGAAGCCUGUGUGAGCUCGGGCCAACUGGGAAUGUAAACCGCACUGACCAAGCAGAGUUGGGGAAGUUGCCAGCAAACGCAGAAAAAAGGAAAGGAAGGAAGAUGUGGAAAGCAUGAGAGCGCAUGACCUUGGAUCAAUCCUUCAGCCUCUGGGUGGGGCUUCUGGAUGAAUGAACUGUUGACAGUGACACCAGAUCUGACCUCUUUUAAGAGUGAUUUGAUGUUUCUUUAAGCAACACCCCGUCUCUAUGAAGAAAUGCCAACAGAGGAGAAGUUUCAAGCUUGCUAUUUUUAUUUAAGCUGUUGGAACGGUAUGGACAUAAUAAGUGUUUUGGAAUAGACAUCAGUGUCCAAAGCCCAUUGGAAGCAUGCUCUAUGCAGGCGUCUCCGAAGUCUUGAUGAAGAGUGAAAAAAUGAAGAACAACGCAGUACAGCCAAACCAACUCAUUCAGGCGAUACAGGUCCAGAUUGUGAAAAAUGAUGUCUGAAUGUCAGGUGGUCUGCUGAACCUGAGGAGGAGGACUUGGAGUGUAUUUUGGUGUGACCAGCAGCCUGGCUUUCAUGUCUCUGGGGUCUGGGGCUAAAUUUAGCUGCCAGCAAGUCUUGUACAAUUCAGCUGACUUCAGCAGAACUGCCCAGGAGAGCACAACUGUGCUAUUUGCAUGCAUUGUGUGAUGCUAUGGAGUCCCACCUGGAAGGUGCUACAGAGGUUGGAGUGGUGGCUGACACAGGUGAAGGUCACAGUGCUUAGUGCUGAAGAGGAUCAGACUGUUUUGGAGGACACUGUGUGGGGGCCUGGCUUGGAGUCUGAUGUUGGAGAAGUACAGUGGAUUGAGGAAUGGUGCUUCUGCUCUUCCCAGACACACCUAUAGGUAAGUAAUAAAUGAUACAACAAAAAUAAGUAGGCUCAUUAAUAAGUUUCUGCCAUUAAAAUAAUUUCUUAGCUGCAGACCCUAUUCACACAAGAACCCUCCAUAGCAUGCAAAGGCACAUAUGUGUUGCCUGAGCUCUGUGUCCUUCUGUAGGCAGCUGGGCUGUAGCCCAGUGCCAGCUUCCAGCAGGGUUGUUUUCCCUACUUUGAUUUAUAAUUACUGAUCACUUGGAAGGAUGGAGAGGAAAGGCCUGAGUUUUUUUGUUCCUCGUUUAAUAAUUUAAUUUGUAUUCUGAUCUUCAAAUCCCCAUAGCACCAUGUGAAGUAGAGAAACUCUGCAGGGGAGGGGGGGAGGAGGAAUAAAGGAGGGAGCCAGGGCUUUCUAUUUCCAUAUGGUGAGCCUCUCCUCCUUGCGAUCACAGCUUGUCAUCUGUCUUCUUUUAAACUUCAGAUCCCAUGUAAAAAUCUUCCCAGCAAAGAAUGGGCAAUAAAUGUGACACAAAGGCAAUCCAUGUGAAGAGAUUACAUGGGGUACCCAUGGAGCAUGGUUUUGUUAGAGGUUUUCUUUACAUACAGGCAUGGACAUGAGAAUAAACAGCCCCAGGAAUGGUGUAUUUCCAUAGAGGGGCACAGUGGCAUGGGUGUUACUGAUAGUCUGGGGAGAUAAGCCUGAAUAUUUCUCUGCAUAUACUUGGCAGAUGGAAUGAUAGGUGCCUUUCUUGUCGGAUUGAAAGGUCAGAUUUAGUGAUCACAUGAUAUAUGUGCUCUUAAUUAAAGCUGAUGGCCAGCAUGGCUCAGUGCAGGCCAUGGACCUGCCUCCUUGCAAGCUGGGAGUGCUCGGUGGCAGUGUCCCAUCAGCAGAAGCAGAGGAAUUGUUCUGGCACUGGCAUGGGACUUUCUGCAAAUACACGUUGUAGCCCCCUGACUUUCAGGUUUGCACAAGAAGAGCCACCUUGCACCUGCUUUUGUGCAGCCCAAAUGCUGCUCACGACCAACACUUUUCAGCAUCAAUUUUAUCAAGUUGAUUCAAGUGAACUUUGCUUUAAAGAAAGAUGGUGGUUUACAGCCUUAGUGUGAUGCCAGCACCUCUGCAACUCAUACUUUGUGUGCCCUCGAGCUCUGCAGUGCAGUGCAAUGCAGGUGGCAGGGGGUGGGGACAGCCCUUGCUGCAUCCCUUGUGUUGUGUUGCUCGCACAGUGCCCUCCUGGUGCUUAGCAGGUGCUCCCCCUUCCCUUCCCUUCCCUUCCCUUCCCUUCCCUUCC
Long non-coding RNA from Numida meleagris (helmeted guineafowl), 13651 nucleotides. RefSeq lists it as uncharacterized. The transcript is spliced from 14 exons. The record is from RefSeq and is a predicted model, not a curated record. Lineage: Eukaryota; Metazoa; Chordata; Aves; Galliformes; Numididae.